ACAGAUCGUUCAGAGUUUGAUCCUGGCUCAGGAUGAACGCUAGCGAUAGGCUUAACACAUGCAAGUCGAGGGGUAACAUGGGAGUAGCUUGCUACUUCUGAUGACGACCGGCGCACGGGUGAGUAACGCGUAUCCAACCUGCCCUUCAUAUUGGGAUAGCCUUCCGAAAGGGAGAUUAAUACCGAAUAACAUAGAGUGAUUGCCUGAUUUCUCUAUGAAAGCUCCGGCGAUGAAGGAUGGGGAUGCGUUCCAUUAGGUAGUAGGCGGGGUAACGGCCCACCUAGCCGACGAUGGAUAGGGGUUCUGAGAGGAAGGUCCCCCACACUGGAACUGAGACACGGUCCAG
RNAcentral lists this ribosomal RNA (346 nucleotides) under uncultured bacterium. Its description in RNAcentral is "bacterial SSU rRNA". It matches the Rfam family "Bacterial small subunit ribosomal RNA", at positions 1 to 334 of the family's 1533-position model. The record is from RNAcentral.